AACGCGAAGAACCUUACCUAGGUUUGACAUGGCGCUGCACGAGGUCGAAAGGCUGAGGGUCGCAAGACAGCGUCACAGGUGCUGCAUGGCUGUCGUCAGCUCGUGCCGUGAGGUGUUAGGUUAAGUCCUGUAACGAGCGCAACCCCUAGGUUCAGUUACAAGUGUCUGGACCGACUGCCCGUGACAAGCGGGAGGAAGGUGGGGACGACGUCAAGUCAGCAUGGCCUUUAUAUCUAGGGCUACACACACGCUACAAUGGACGGUACAAUGGGUCGCCAAGCUGAAAAGCGGAGCCAAUCCAAGCAAAGACGUUCGCAGUUCGGAUUGUGGGCUGCAACUCGCCCACAUGAAGCUGGAGUUGCUAGUAACCGCGCGUCAGCUAUAGUGCGGUGAAUACGUUCCCGGGCCUUGUACACACCGUAGUAC
This 426-nucleotide ribosomal RNA is filed under the name uncultured bacterium. Its description in RNAcentral is "bacterial SSU rRNA". It matches the Rfam family "Bacterial small subunit ribosomal RNA", at positions 958 to 1398 of the family's 1533-position model. The record is from RNAcentral.